GACGAACGCUGGCGGCGCGCUUAACACAUGCAAGUCGAACGGAAAGGCCUGCUUUCCCUUGUGGAUUGCGGGUACUCGAGUGGCGAACGGGUGAGUAACACGUGAGUGAUCUGCCCCCAACUUGGGUAUAAGCCUGGGAAACUGGGUCUAAUUCCCGAUAGGACUGCAGGGUGGUGCCUGUGGUGGAAAACGAUUUUCUAGUGGUUGGGGAUGAGCUCGCGGCCUAUCAGCUUGUUGGUGGGGUAAUGGCCUACCAAGGCGGCGACGGGUAGCCGGCCUGGGAGGGUGGACGGCCACAUUGGGACUGAGAUACGGCCCAGACUCCUACGGGAGGCAGCAGUGGGGAAUAUUGCACAAUGGGCGGAAGCCUGAUGCAGCGACGCCGCGUGGGGGAUGACGGCCUUCGGGGUGUAAACUCCUUUCGACCGCGAGGAAGCCACCUGGUUGGAAGGGUGGUGACGGUAGUGGUAGAGAAGCACCGGCUAACUACGUG
Molecule: ribosomal RNA, 493 nt
Filed under: uncultured bacterium
Lineage: Bacteria
Description: partial 16S ribosomal RNA
Rfam family: Bacterial small subunit ribosomal RNA
Source: RNAcentral